Molecule: ribosomal RNA, 306 nt
Filed under: uncultured bacterium
Lineage: Bacteria
Description: bacterial SSU rRNA
Rfam family: Bacterial small subunit ribosomal RNA
Source: RNAcentral
UUAAGUCACAACGGACAAAAGAUGAGCAUGCGUCCCAUUAGCUAGUUGGUAAGGUAACGGCUUACCAAGGCUACGAUGGGUAGGGGUCCUGAGAGGGAGAUCCCCCACACUGGUACUGAGACACGGACCAGACUCCUACGGGAGGCAGCAGUGAGGAAUAUUGGACAAUGGGCGCAAGCCUGAUCCAGCCAUGCCGCGUGCAGGAUGACGGUCCUAUGGAUUGUAAACUGCUUUUGUACAGGAAGAAACACUACUUCGUGAAGUAGCUUGACGGUACUGUAAGAAUAAGGAUCGGCUAACUCCGUG